AGGAUAUAAAAGCCCAAACCGAAAUAUGGGAAGGAAGCUUUUCAAAUAGAGAGCCCUAAGGAGAGCUGAGAGCAGAGAGGGGCAAAGGGGUUUAUGUUUAUAGGGGCGAAGGCGAUCGAACCUGAUGAUUCCUAACUCUCAUUCACUCAGGAAAAUUAUUGUAAGAGUUCCCUGCAAUAGUAUUAAUACCUUAUUGAGCUCUUUGCUUCAGGAAUAGUUAAUUGGAAUUCCGUCUCCCAUUGCAUAUUUUAGGUCAGGGAAUCUGCAUCAGGUGGCGUCGAUGGUGUGUAUGGAUUAAAUAGUACAUAAAAUUUUGGUAGCUUCUGUUGAUUGCUGGAGAUAAAUACAUGAAUAGCGGCGGCAGACAUCGGAACCUCGGUGGUGGGGUUCACCAUGUGUUGGACUAUCUGAAGCGAAUGCAGGCGGAGAAUCCUGCUUUCUUUUAUGCAAUUCAGGCUGAUAAUGAGCAUUCCACCGGAAACAUAUUCUGGGCUGAUGCAAAUUGUAGGAUGAACUACAAUUACUUUGGGGAUACGGUUAGGCUAGACACGACCUACAGGAGGAAUCACUUCAGAGUACCGUUUGCCUCAUUCACAGGCCUAAAUCAUCAUGGCCAGCCGGUUUUGUUUGGCAGUGCAUUGCUUCUUAAUGAGUCUGAUUCAGCUUUUUUGUGGCUAAUCCAAACAUGGCUUCAUGCAAUGUCUGGACGGUUCCCCAUCUCUGUCACAACUGACCGAGAUCGGCUCAUCCAGAUGGCUGUCUCACAAGUUCUGCCUGAAACCCGCCAUCGCUUCUGUAAGUGGAGCAUAUUCCAAGAAACCCAGGAGAAAUUAGCUCAUAUAUAUCAACAACAUUCCACCUUUGAUCUAGAGUUUAAGAAGUGUGUUAAUGAGACUGAGUCAGUCAGUGAAUUUGAGUCAUGUUGGGAAUCACUCCUUCAGCGGUACUACCUCUUGGAUAAUGAGUGGCUUCAGUCAAUGUACGCCAUUCAGCAUCAAUGGGUCCCUGUUUACAUGCGAGACACCUUCUUUGGGGAGUUAUCUAGGAAUAUUUCUGGGCCCGGCAUUACAAAUUCUUUUUUUGACGGGUAUGUGAAUGCAACAACUAGUAUACAGAUGCUAAUUAAACAGUAUGAGAAAGCAGUGGCCAGUUGGCAUGAAAAGGAAUUAAAGGCAGACUAUGACACUACUACUAAUGUGCCUGUUUUGAAGACACCAUCUCCUAUGGAGAAACAGGCUGCUAGCUUUUAUACGAAGAGAAUAUUCCUGAAAUUUCAAGAGGAAUUGGUAGAAACCCUUGCUAAUCCAGCAACAAGAGUUGAAGAUUCUGGAACGACUACCACCUAUCAAGUGGCCAAAUUUGGGGAGGAGCAUAAAGCACACACCGUUAGGUUCAAUGCUUUUGAGAUGAAAGCUAAUUGCAGCUGCCAAAUGUUCGAAUUUUCUGGCAUUAUUUGUAGGCAUGUGUUAUCGGUUUUCAGAUCUAAAAAUGUUCUUACACUUCCUUCGGAUUAUAUUUUGAAACGGUGGACAAGAAAUGCAAAGAGUGGUGGUGUCAUUGAUGGACAGGCCCUUGAAUUGCCAAAUGAUUCACAAGAAUCUUUAACUGUUAGAUAUAACAAUCUACGUCAGGAAGCCAUCAAAUUUGUGGAAGAAGGAGCAAAAUCUAUCCAUAUUUAUAAUGUUGCAAUGGAAGCCCUGCAGGAGGCUGCAAAGAAGGUUGCUACUGCAAAGAAGAAAAGUUUCACAAAGAGUGGCACUCUGGCCAAUGGAGAUGGCCAAGAAGUUCAUACAUGUGAAGAGAAUGAAAUAAUGUCACUUCAAUCUUCGGUGCCAUUGGAAUAGAAACUCAAUUAAUUACCAAAUCAAGGUUCAAUACUUGAAGCUUCCACAUUUUUAGAUCAGCAAUGUUGAACACACACGAAGUAGGGAUAUUGUCAGGAAUAUCUAGAAGAGCAUUGGUACCCAACUUCUUCAAAAUGCAAAAUGGUCCAAACUUCCAUCAACUCAGCUUACCAUAUUAUCUAGUUGGAUUCUAUCAUGUCAAAAGUGAACCAUAACUAAACCUCCCUUUGAAAUUGAUUGUUUCCUAUUAUACUUAUUUGCUGUUCAGCAUUGUAGCUUGAAGCUUCUCAAGCACCUCCCGUUGUAUCUGACCUAUGCGUUUAACAAGCUCAUCUGCUUCAGCACUUAGAUGACCAUGAAAAGGAACUGGUGCAGCAAAUUUUGGACAACAGCCUGGCAAGCUAAUAGAGGUUAAGAAAUGCUUCUCACAACAGCCCUAUGCCAUGCCACACCAACUAUCAAGCUAGAGUCUAGCCCCAUUGGUUAGCUCUACAACCUUAACAAAAGUCUUUUUAUAGGAUUUUUUGCACACUUUCUCAUAAUUUCUCAAUAAUUAACCCCAUAGGUUACCCAAAACUCCAUAGUGAACCAAUGAUCCUGAUCACAACCAUAUUUACUCUCUUUGUAACACCAAGGGCCCUCACAUGAAGAUGCUAGCUGAGGUUAAUUUUGGACUCAUGCGACAAGGUCUUGGAGUUCUCUAGGCCAGCAAUCUCAUAAUUAUAACCCAAGGUUAGCACCAUCUUGGCCUGUGCACACAUGAUAAUGUUCCUAAGUUGCCUUUCAUACCAUUUAUAAUACUAUGAACCCUUGCCCAAAACUGCUAGUUAAAGUUGACUCUUAAAUGCAAUACGGCAAGAGACCAAGUAAUCCACAACCUCCCCAAUAGAAUGUUGAUGUGGGAUUGAGUUUCAACUUUUUAUCUUUUUUUUGGCUCACUAUUGACUAUUCCAAAUCCACUUUUUUGAAAGGGCUUGACUAACCUUCCAAUACCAAUGCCACCCCCCUGAAGACGCAGACCCCUACCUGCCUCCUUGUAAACUCCCAUACUUAUAAGGCUGCCUGCAGUUUUUUUCCUGUUCACAAGCUGAUCAUUGUAACCAUUGUCUAACAAUGAUUCAUAUAAGACUUCCAGCUUCUGACAUGCCAUGGCAGGGUGCAGAU
Diospyros lotus (date-plum) is the source of this 3008-nucleotide RNA transcript. It is a transcript of the gene named protein FAR1-RELATED SEQUENCE 9-like, with no coding region annotated. Lineage: Eukaryota; Viridiplantae; Streptophyta; Magnoliopsida; Ericales; Ebenaceae. The transcript is spliced from 4 exons. The record is from RefSeq and is a predicted model, not a curated record.